UGGGGAAUAUUGCACAAUGGGCGAAAGCCUGAUGCAGCGACGCCGCGUGAGGGAUGACGGCCUUCGGGUUGUAAACCUCUUUCAGCAGGGAAGAAGCGAGAGUGACGGUACCUGCAGAAGAAGCGCCGGCUAACUACGUGCCAGCAGCCGCGGUAAUACGUAGGGCGCAAGCGUUGUCCGGAAUUAUUGGGCGUAAAGAGCUCGUAGGCGGCUUGUCGCGUCGGAUGUGAAAGCCCGGGGCUUAACCCCGGGUCUGCAUUCGAUACGGGCAGGCUAGAGUUCGGUAGGGGAGAUCGGAAUUCCUGGUGUAGCGGUGAAAUGCGCAGAUAUCAGGAGGAACACCGGUGGCGAAGGCGGAUC
This 360-nucleotide ribosomal RNA is filed under the name uncultured Streptomyces sp. RNAcentral's name for it is "bacterial SSU rRNA". It matches the Rfam family "Bacterial small subunit ribosomal RNA", at positions 355 to 727 of the family's 1533-position model. The record is from RNAcentral. Lineage: Bacteria; Bacillati; Actinomycetota; Actinomycetes; Kitasatosporales; Streptomycetaceae.